UAAUUCUAGAGCUAAUACAUGCUAAACAUCCCGACUCCGGAAGGGAUGUAUUUAUUAGAUUCAAAGCCAAUGCCCCCCGGGCUCACUGGUGAUUCAUGAUAACUGCUCGAAUCGCACGGCCUUGCGCCGGCGAUGGCUCAUUCAAAUUUCUUCCCUAUCAACUUUCGAUGUUUGGGUAGUGGCCAAACAUGGUUGCAACGGGUAACGGAGGGUUAGGGCUCGACCCCGGAGAAGGAGCCUGAGAAACGGCUACUACAUCCAAGGAAGGCAGCAGGCGCGCAAAUUACCCAAUCCCGACACGGGGAGGUAGUGACAAUAAAUACUGAUACAGGGCUCUUUUGGGUCUUGUAAUUGGAAUGAGUACAAUUUAAACCCCUUAACGAGGAACAAUUGGAGGGCAAGUCUGGUGAACGUUGCUGGCGCCAGAGAGAGCCGCCCUCGGUAAACAACCGGCUAGUCGAGCGCCCGCGAGUGACGGGUGGGCGCCGGCGAGACWACCUGGAUCGGGGGAGGCUAAGGGCCGCGAGAGGCCUAUGCUGAUCCCGAGCGGAGCCCCCGGGCYCGUGUAGAGCGCGCAAAGGUGUCGGUCCCCUMGGGGGCUUGAGGUACGURCCAACCCCCCGCGAAAGCGGGGCCYCGCGGAACAGCGCCCGUCGCGYGAAGCCGCCGGGGGCUGUCACAGCGACAGCGCAAGCUCCGCAGCGGCAGAGUUCUAGGCGUCUAGACCUGUUGCGCGGAGAGAAUAGGCCAGCAGCCGCGGUAAUUCCAGCUCCAAUAKCGUAUAUUAAAGUUGUUGUGSUUAAAAAGCUUGUAGUUGAWCCUUGGKCCUGGSUGGCCGGUCCGCCUCUYCSMGUGCCMUGGUCCGRCCGGGCCUUUCCCCCUGWGGAACCCCAUGCCCUUCACUGGGCGUGGCGGGGAGACAGGACUUYUACUUUGAAAAAAUUAG
RNAcentral lists this ribosomal RNA (946 nucleotides) under Hirsutella hongheensis. Its description in RNAcentral is "Hirsutella sp. DPW-2019a partial small subunit ribosomal RNA". It matches the Rfam family "Eukaryotic small subunit ribosomal RNA", at positions 154 to 780 of the family's 1831-position model. The record is from RNAcentral. Lineage: Eukaryota; Fungi; Ascomycota; Sordariomycetes; Hypocreales; Ophiocordycipitaceae.